This 433-nucleotide ribosomal RNA is filed under the name uncultured bacterium. RNAcentral's name for it is "partial 16S ribosomal RNA". It matches the Rfam family "Bacterial small subunit ribosomal RNA", at positions 29 to 507 of the family's 1533-position model. The record is from RNAcentral.
AACGAACGCUGGCGGCAUGCCUAACACAUGCAAGUCGAACGAGACCUUCGGGUCUAGUGGCGCACGGGUGCGUAGCGCGUGGGAACCUGCCCUUAGGUUCGGAAUAACUCCCCGAAAGGGGUGCUAAUACCGGAUAAUGUCUUCGGACCAAAGAUUUAUCGCCUUUGGAUGGGCCCGCGUUGGAUUAGCUAGUUGGUAGGGUAAAAGCCUACCAAGGCGACGAUCCAUAGCUGGUCUGAGAGGAUGAUCAGCCACACUGGGACUGAGACACGGCCCAGACUCCUACGGGAGGCAGCAGUGGGGAAUAUUGGACAAUGGGCGAAAGCCUGAUCCAGCAAUGCCGCGUGAGUGAUGAAGGCCUUAGGGUUGUAAAGCUCUUUUACCCGGGAUGAUAAUGACAGUACCGUGAGAAUAAGCUCCGGCUAACUCCGUG